Phrynosoma platyrhinos (Desert horned lizard) is the source of this 73-nucleotide non-coding RNA. The record is from the annotation of a GenBank genome assembly. NCBI's taxonomy places the organism in Eukaryota, Metazoa, Chordata, Lepidosauria, Squamata, Phrynosomatidae.
GCCAGUGUGGCAUAGUGGUCUGGGUGUUGGACUACAACUCUGGAGACCGUGGGUUCGAUGCCCUGCUCAGGGA